RNAcentral lists this ribosomal RNA (462 nucleotides) under uncultured bacterium. RNAcentral describes it as "bacterial SSU rRNA". It matches the Rfam family "Bacterial small subunit ribosomal RNA", at positions 338 to 795 of the family's 1533-position model. The record is from RNAcentral.
CCUACGGGUGGCUGCAGUCGAGAAUCUUCCGCAAUGGACGAAAGUCUGACGGAGCGACGCCGCGUGCGGGAUGAAGGCCCUUGGGUUGUAAACCGCUUUCGGAGGGGAUGAAAUCUUCGAGGGUUCUCCCUCGAAGUUGACAGAGCCUCAAAGGAAGCACGGGCUAAGUACGUGCCAGCAGCCGCGGUAACACGUACUGUGCGAACGUUAUUCGGAAUCACUGGGCUUAAAGGGUGCGUAGGUGGCAAUCCAAGUCAGAUGUGAAAUGCCUGAGCUUAACUGAGGCACUGCGUUUGAAACUGGACUGCUAGAGUAUUUCAGGGGUGUGCGGAACUGCCAGUGGAGCGGUGAAAUGUGUUGAUAUUGGCAGGAACACCGGAGGCGAAAGCGGCACACUGGGGAAUAACUGACACUGAGGCACGAAAGCCAGGGGAGCGAACGGGAUUAGAUACCCGGGUAGUC